UACGAAGGGGGCUAGCGUUGUUCGGAAUUACUGGGCGUAAAGCGCGCGCAGGCGGUUUUUCAAGUCAGUGGUGAAAGCCCGGAGCUCAACUCCGGAACUGCCAUUGAAACUGUGAAACUUGAGGAUGAGAGAGGUGAGUGGAAUUCCCAGUGUAGAGGUGAAAUUCGUAGAUAUUGGGAAGAACACCGGUGGCGAAGGCGCACAUCUGGCCCGAUACUGACGCUGAGGCGCGAAAGCUAGGGGAGCAAACGGG
This 253-nucleotide ribosomal RNA is filed under the name uncultured bacterium. Its description in RNAcentral is "partial 16S ribosomal RNA". It matches the Rfam family "Bacterial small subunit ribosomal RNA", at positions 524 to 776 of the family's 1533-position model. The record is from RNAcentral.